GUCGGAGUCGCUAGUAAUCGCAGAUCAGCAACGCUGCGGUGAAUACGUUCCCGGGCCUUGUACACACCGCCCGUCACGUCAUGAAAGUCGGUAACACCCGAAGCCGGUGGCCUAACCCCUUGUGGGAGGGAGCUGUCGAAGGUGGGAUCGGCGAUUGGGACGAAGUCGUAACAAGGUAGCCGUACCGGAAGGUGCGGCUGGAUCACCUCCUUUCUAAGGAG
This 221-nucleotide ribosomal RNA is filed under the name Gordonia lacunae. RNAcentral's name for it is "partial 16S ribosomal RNA". It matches the Rfam family "Bacterial small subunit ribosomal RNA", at positions 1325 to 1533 of the family's 1533-position model. The record is from RNAcentral. Lineage: Bacteria; Bacillati; Actinomycetota; Actinomycetes; Mycobacteriales; Gordoniaceae.